Molecule: long non-coding RNA, 477 nt
Filed under: Nicotiana benthamiana
Lineage: Eukaryota; Viridiplantae; Streptophyta; Magnoliopsida; Solanales; Solanaceae
Description: long non-coding RNA (NBEN_LNC036458)
Source: RNAcentral
CAAUCCUUGUCUAGUUUGAAAGAGUUGUAUACUCAGUUUCAGAGUAUUUCCUCUUUAGAUUGUGAGUCAUAUGUCAGUUUGCUAAACAUCAUCGCGUUCCUAAAGUUUGUAGAGUCAAUAAACGGGUCGACUUACCUUUUGAGUUAGUUCACACCGAUGUUUGGGGUCCAUGUCCUAUUAUAUCUAAAAUUAGUUUUAGAUAUUUUGUUACCUUUGUGGAUGAUCAUUCUCGUGUUACUUGGUUAUGUUAAAUGAAAAAUCAUUCGGAGUUGUUUUCAAUUUUUUGUGCUAUCUCUAAAACUAGUUUUAGAUAUUUUGUUACCUUUGUGGAUGAUCAUUCUCGUAUUACUUGAUUAUAUUUAAUGAAAAAUCGUUUGGAGUUGUUUUCAACUUUUUGUGCUUUUUGUGCUGAAAUAAAAACUCAUUUUAAUGUUUCCGUUCGUAAUUUAAGGAGUGACAAUGCAAAAGAAUAUUUUU